AUGGCCUUGCUGUACGUGUCACCUUGCGGAUCUGGUGCGUCAGUUUGCCAUCCGACGGGAGUCCUUACGUCCAGUCGUCGUUACUUCGUCGGUCUCGGUACACGAAAGAAUGCUGGGUCAGUAUUGCUUCUGCCUACUUUUAAUAGGUGUUGUUUCAACUAUCUUGUAGAUGAACCCUUUUUUUGGAGCAUGGGCUUUCUUUGUUACGAAGGAACGCUGGUCAUUGACCCGUGCGCAUGUGUGCACAAAUGAGCAAAUGAAGCUCGUUAGUAACUUAUUAGUAUAUUUGUUUUUUGAAACGACUAUAUCGUAACUUCCGC
RNAcentral lists this long non-coding RNA (320 nucleotides) under Oryza brachyantha (malo sina). RNAcentral's name for it is "long non-coding RNA (OBRA_LNC001627)". Lineage: Eukaryota; Viridiplantae; Streptophyta; Magnoliopsida; Poales; Poaceae. The record is from RNAcentral.